AUUUUGGAUUUUCUCAAAUCCACACAGGGUCAAAAACAAAUAUAC
Molecule: non-coding RNA, 45 nt
Organism: Oreochromis niloticus (Nile tilapia)
Lineage: Eukaryota; Metazoa; Chordata; Actinopteri; Cichliformes; Cichlidae
Source: Rfam